Molecule: long non-coding RNA, 219 nt
Filed under: Saimiri boliviensis boliviensis (Bolivian squirrel monkey)
Lineage: Eukaryota; Metazoa; Chordata; Mammalia; Primates; Cebidae
Description: SOX2 overlapping transcript exon 1 (ENSSBOG00000019249.1)
Rfam family: SOX2 overlapping transcript exon 1
About the family: SOX2 overlapping transcript (SOX2OT) is a long non-coding RNA, containing at least 5 exons. The SOX2 gene, an important regulator of neurogenesis, lies within one of the introns of SOX2OT.
Source: RNAcentral
ACAGCUUUGGACAAAAGUCUGUAGCCAGUGCAUUUGAAACUCCCCUUGCACCAGGGCUGACUGUAGCUGGGGGAAGACAUUUUACUCAUUUGCUCUUUCCUUUAACACGGUCAGCUGGUCCCUCUUCUCAGGUGUAGAUCACCUCUUACAAUUUUACCUAAUUCUGAUAAAGAAAGGCCCAGGACUUACCAGCUGGGAUAGGCCUCACAAGACAGCUCU